ACGGAAGGCAGCAGUGAGGAAUAUUGGUCAAUGGGCGAGAGCCUGAACCAGCCAAGUCGCGUGAAGGAUGAAGGUUCUAUGGAUUGUAAACUUCUUUUAUUCGAGGGUAAAGUGAGUCACGUGUGGUUCAUUGCAAGUAUCGAAUGAAUAAGCAUCGGCUAACUCCGUGCCAGCAGCCGCGGUAAUACGGAGGAUGCGAGCGUUAUCCGGAUUUAUUGGGUUUAAAGGGAGCGUAGGCGGGUUUUUAAGUCAGUGGUAAAAGCGUGUGGCUCAACCAUACCACGCCAUUGAAACUGGAAGCCUUGAGUGCACACAGGGAUGCUGGAAUUCGUCGUGUAGCGGUGAAAUGCUUAGAUAUGACGAAGAACUCCGAUCGCGAAGGCAGGUGUCCGGGGUGUAACUGACGCUGAGGCUCGAAAGUGCGGGUAUCAAACAGGAUUAGAUACCCUGGUA
RNAcentral lists this ribosomal RNA (453 nucleotides) under uncultured Alloprevotella sp. Its description in RNAcentral is "partial 16S ribosomal RNA". It matches the Rfam family "Bacterial small subunit ribosomal RNA", at positions 341 to 792 of the family's 1533-position model. The record is from RNAcentral. Lineage: Bacteria; Pseudomonadati; Bacteroidota; Bacteroidia; Bacteroidales; Prevotellaceae.